ACCAGCAAAAUUUCCACUCACGAUUGCAUUAGAAAACAUUGUUAGUGGUUCUUGAUCCUUAAUUUUGACCCUGCCUAUUUUGAUUUCAAAUGUAAUUUUCUUAUUAUCUUAAUUUGUUUAAUUUUAUUUUUUAAAAUAAAAGUUUUGUACUCGGUAAUACUUUUUAGGUGGUUUUCAAUAUUAUUACUCAAUCAAUAUCAAGUAAAUUACAUCAAUUUAAACUUUAAUGAGAAAAAUAACUCUUUUUGUGAAAUGAAUGAAGAAAAGUCUUGAAAAUAACUGAUGAUCGACCUUACGAGCGCAUGCAUGCAUGAAUGUGCAGUGAGUUAGGGUAGUGCUUAAAUUUUUCUGAACAACUUCCAAGUGUGUGAAGUGAAGGAGG
Molecule: long non-coding RNA, 382 nt
Filed under: Panax ginseng (ginseng)
Lineage: Eukaryota; Viridiplantae; Streptophyta; Magnoliopsida; Apiales; Araliaceae
Description: long non-coding RNA (PGIN_LNC013744)
Source: RNAcentral